Molecule: ribosomal RNA, 496 nt
Filed under: uncultured bacterium
Lineage: Bacteria
Description: partial 16S ribosomal RNA
Rfam family: Bacterial small subunit ribosomal RNA
Source: RNAcentral
GAUGAACGCUGGCGGCGUGCCUAAUACAUGCAAGUCGAGCGAACAGACGAGGAGCUUGCUCCUCUGACGUUAGCGGCGGACGGGUGAGUAACACGUGGAUAACCUACCUAUAAGACUGGGAUAACUUCGGGAAACCGGAGCUAAUACCGGAUAAUAUAUUGAACCGCAUGGUUCAAUAGUGAAAGACGGUUUUGCUGUCACUUAUAGAUGGAUCCGCGCCGCAUUAGCUAGUUGGUAAGGUAACGGCUUACCAAGGCAACGAUGCGUAGCCGACCUGAGAGGGUGAUCGGCCACACUGGAACUGAGACCGGGCCCAGACUCCUAGGGGAGGCAGGAGUAGGGAAUCUUCCGCAAUGGGCGAAAGCCUGCCGGAGCAACGCCGCGUGAGUGAUGAAGGUCUUCGGAUCGUAAAACUCUGUUAUUAGGGAAGAAAAAAUGUGUAAGUAACUAUCCACGUCUUGACGGUACCUAUUCAGAAAGCCACGGCUAACUACGU